RNAcentral lists this ribosomal RNA (253 nucleotides) under uncultured prokaryote. Its description in RNAcentral is "partial 16S ribosomal RNA". It matches the Rfam family "Bacterial small subunit ribosomal RNA", at positions 525 to 777 of the family's 1533-position model. The record is from RNAcentral.
CCUUCUUUUUCGCGCUUUCCUCGGAAUUACUGGGCGUAAAGCGUGCGCAGGCGGUUCGUUGUGUCGGCGGUGAAAGCCCCGGGCUCAACCUGGGAAUGGCCGUUGAAACUGGCGAACUGGAGUGUGGCAGAGGGGGGUGGAAUUCCGCGUGUAGCAGUGAAAUGCGUAGAGAUGCGGAGGAACACCGAUGGCGAAGGCAGCCCCCUGGGCUAACACUGACGCUCAGGCACGAAAGCGUGGGGAGCAAACAGGA